CGAACGGGUGAGUAAUGCGUGACCAACCUCGCCCCAUGCUCCAGAAUAGCUCUUGGAAACGGGUGGUAAUGCUGGAUGCUCCAACUCGACGCAUGUCUUGUUGGGAAAGUGUUUAGUGGCAUGGGAUGGGGUCGCGUCCUAUCAGCUUGUAGGCGGGGUAAUGGCCCACCUAGGCUUCGACGGGUAGCCGGCCUGAGAGGGCGGACGGCCACAUUGGGACUGAGAUACGGCCCAGACUCCUACGGGAGGCAGCAGUU
This 257-nucleotide ribosomal RNA is filed under the name uncultured Gardnerella sp. RNAcentral's name for it is "partial 16S ribosomal RNA". It matches the Rfam family "Bacterial small subunit ribosomal RNA", at positions 99 to 355 of the family's 1533-position model. Lineage: Bacteria; Bacillati; Actinomycetota; Actinomycetes; Bifidobacteriales; Bifidobacteriaceae. The record is from RNAcentral.